Molecule: long non-coding RNA, 1222 nt
Filed under: Capsicum annuum
Lineage: Eukaryota; Viridiplantae; Streptophyta; Magnoliopsida; Solanales; Solanaceae
Description: long non-coding RNA (CANN_LNC016094)
Source: RNAcentral
UUCAAUCUCAACCCUUUUUUCCCUGUCUCUUCAUCUUCUUUUCUUCAAUCUCAAAAUCCAAAAUAAAAAUACUCAUUAAAUUUUCUUUCCUUUCUCUUUCUUUCAUUUUCUUCAAUUUCAGAAAUCAAAAUGUGAAUACCCACCUGCCAAUCUUUUUUCUUUCUCUUUUCUUUCUUUUUUAAUUUAUCAACAAUGAAAAUUGAUGUUGAAUUUAUGAUUGUACAAGAAGAUAAGUACAAUAAUGAUUGAAUUUAUUUUCAAUUUGAUAAAUUCACCAAUAAACAUCUAGCAAAGAUUAACUUGAAUUUAGAGAUUUCUACCAUUCACUUUCUUCUUCAUUGCAUUUAAUUUUUUAAUUCCACUCCAAAUUUGGUAAAAGGGGUGGGAGUGGGGAUGGGGGCUGGCGGUGGUAGUGGCAGCCAAUGGGGUGGUGGUGGCGGGUGAGAUAAAAUUCAUAAUAUGAAUUAUGAAGGAAACAUUUUUGUGGUAUAAUUUAGAAUUUGAUGGUGGGUUUUGAAGAUUCAAAAAUGACACCACCAUCAUAGUUAUGGGUGAGAUGAAAUCCAUAAUUUAAAUAUUCUUAAUUUUUUUGAUGUUACAUUCUUAAUUCUUACAAUUUCGGUAAGAUUUUGAAAAAAUUGGACAAUGAAAAAAGAGAAAAGGUUGAAGAUUUAUAUGGGAGAAAAAUGGAGGAAGGUAAAGAAAUGGUUAAUGGUGGAGAUGACACUGGACGCUGGUGGCGGCGGCUGCAUUGGUGGGUGGUGGUGGAGAUAUUUUGGGUAUGGUGAAAGGAAGAAGAAAGAAUAUAUAUAUAUAUAUAUAUAUAUAUAUAAAAGAGGAAUCGAACCCAUUUAUUUCCAUGUUUUGGAAAUUUUCUAAUAUAUAUAUAUUAAAAAUAAAGUUUCAAUAUUUUUUUGGUGUUCACUCUCUUAAAAAGAGUGAAACACACUCUCUUUGCCAUGUCAGCCUUUAAGGGUGUUAUAGUUUUAGUUUUAAAUAGUUCGGAGGGGGGGGGUCAUAGGACCCCCGCAAAGUUCAGUAUGUGCAACUAUAAAUUUAGGUAAAGUACAAGUAUUUUUUAGACUAUUAUAUCUUUAUUUAAAGAUGGAUAAUUAUAUAUGAGAUAAAAAAGAAACAUUUAUUUAGGAUCACUCACAACCAAAGAGCUACUAAAAAUUGAAGAAAAAAAAAUUAAAUGUGCAUUUUGUUACUAUAAAUUAAG